UCAAGCGCGUAAGAGCAUUUGGUGGAUGCCUUGGCAUAAAGAGGCGAUGAAGGACGUGACAGACUGCGAUAAGCUCGGACUUGCUGUCAAUAAGCUUAAUCCGAGAUUUCCGAAUGGGGAAACCCAAUAACUUAUAAGUGAAUUCAUAGCUUAUAAGGGCGAACCUAGGGAACUGAAACAUCUAAGUACCUAGAGGAAAAGAUAUUCCGUUAGUAGUGGCGAGCGAAAGCGGAUCAGGCCAGUGCUACUUUUUACUAAACCAGAACUGUAUGGAAAGGCAGGCCAUAGUGAGUGAUAGCCUCGUAUGGGUAGAUAGUAAAAAAUAGACAUGAGUAGGGCGGGACACGUGAAAUCCUGUCUGAAUAUAGGAAGACCACUUCCUAAGCCUAAAUACUACUUUAUGACCGAUAGUGAACCAGUACCGUGAGGGAAAGGCGAAAAGAACCCCUAGCAGGGGAGUGAAAUAGACCCUGAAACCGGAUGCUUACAAGCAGUUGGAGCCUCUUUAUGAGGUGACAGCGUACCUUUUGUAUAAUGGGUCAGCGACUUAAUCUCAUUAGCAAGCUUAAGCCAUUUAGGUGUAGGCGAAGCGAAAGCGAGUCUGAAUAGGGCGAUUUAGUUAAUGGGAUUAGACUCGAAACCGAGUGAUCUAGUCAUGAGCAGGUUGAAAGUGAAGUAAAAUUCACCGGAGGACCGAACCCACUAGCGUUGAAAAGCUACGGGAUGACUUGUGAUUAGGGGUGAAAGGCCAACCAAACUCGGAAAUAGCUAGUUCUCCGCGAAAACUAUUUAGGUAGUGCGUCGUGUGAAUCUUGUCGGGGGUAGAGCACUGAAUGGGCUAGGGGGAAGCAAUUCCUACCAAACCUAAUCAAACUCCGAAUACCGAUAAGUCUGCACGGCAGACAGUCCAUGGGUGCUAAGGUCCUUGGACGAGAGGGAAACAGCCCAGAUCAACAGCUAAGGUCCCCAAAUAAUGAUUAAGUGUGAAAGGGAGUGGGAACUCCAAGACAGCCAGGAGGUUGGCUUAGAAGCAGCCAUCCUUUAAAGAAAGCGUAACAGCUCACUGGUCUAAUUAAGAGAUCCUGCACCGAAAAUGUAACGGGGCUCAAAUCAUUUACCGAAGCUUUGACAAUUACUUUGUAAUUGGGUAGCGGAGCGUUCUGUAAGCCUGUAAAGGUGAUGCGUAAGCAUUGCUGGAGGUAUCAGAAGUGCGAAUGCUGACAUGAGUAACGAUAAGAAAUGUGAAAGACAUUUCCGCCGAAAUCCUAAGGUUUCCUGCGUAAAGCUAAUCUGCGCAGGGUUAGUCGGCCCCUAAGGCGAGGGCGAAAGCCGUAGUCGAUGGGAAGCAGGUUAAUAUUCCUGCACCAGCUGGUAGUGACGGAUGAAGUAAAUUGUAAGUUCUUACUGGAUUGAGCUUGCAGUGAAUUUGUCCCUGGAAAUAGCUCCAGCAUUAGACCGUACCAAAACCGACACAGGUAGGAGGGUAGAGAAUACCAAGGCGCUUGAGAGAACUAUGUUGAAGGAACUCGGCAAAUUACACUUGUAACUUCGGGAUAAAAGUGACCUGCUAUUGGGCAACCAGUAGGAGGUGGCACAGAAGAGGGGGUAGCGACUGUUUACUAAAAACAUAGCACUAUGCAAAGUCGAAAGACGACGUAUAUGGUGUGACGCCUGCCCGGUGCCGGAAGGUUAAUAGGAGGGGUGCAAGCCCUGAAUUGAAGCCCCGGUGAACGGCGGCCGUAACUAUAACGGUCCUAAGGUAGCGAAAUUCCUUGUCGGGUAAGUUCCGACCUGCACGAAUGGCGUAACGAUUUCCCCACUGUCUCCAACAUAGACUCAGUGAAAUUGAAUUCUCGGUUAAGAUGCCGAGUAACCGUGGUUAGACGGAAAGACCCCGUGCACCUUUACUGCAGCUUUGUAUUGGUAUUAGGGAACAGAUGUGUAGCAUAGGUGGGAGACUUUGAAGGAGUGGCGCUAGCCAUUCUGGAGUCACUAGUGAAAUACCACUCUUCUGUUCCUUGAUGCCUAACCAUACACCGUU
RNAcentral lists this ribosomal RNA (2041 nucleotides) under marine metagenome. RNAcentral describes it as "bacterial LSU rRNA". It matches the Rfam family "Bacterial large subunit ribosomal RNA", at positions 1 to 2237 of the family's 2925-position model. The record is from RNAcentral.